CUUCCCUUUAGCCAAAGAUGAUACUCUUACAUAAUUUGAAUUUUGUCAUGACAUCUUGUGAUAAUUUUUAACUUUAAGUGUCUGAGCCAGGAAUUUGGCAUGCUCAAAUGCCUGGUCAGAUACACCAGGAGUCUAGACUUCUGCAGUGACCAUCUGUGUGGUGUUCUUACUUUAAAAAAAAAAAAAAAACAACUGAACUGUAAUGCAGAAAUAAACGUCUACAAAAUACAGUGGCUUUAGUGAGUUUUUUGUUUUUAUUCAUGACUUAUUUCUUGUUUUUCCAUUCUUGGUUUUGUGUUGUUUUUUUUUUAUUAAUAAAACAUUCCUCUGGGUAUUUUGUGUUGCAUUUUUAUAUUUUUGCUCAUUUCUAACUUUGAACUCCUUUAGAAUGAAGAUUAUUUUUGGCCUUUGCAGUCUCAAGUGAUGGAUGGGAGUGAUAUUCAUACAUCACUGUAGUAAAACUUCCAUUUCUUUGUCCUCUUCUCAGCAAGUCCCAGCAGAAGUCCUCUUUUCACUCUGGACUGAUGUCCACCCAUCUAGCAGGUCUGCUGCAUGCUUGCCCCUUGUCAUGCAUUGAAUGUUGCAUCCUGUUUCCACUGUCUGCAGCUACACUUGCUAAGCCGUGGAUUGGAAGCAGUGUGAUUUAAGGGGAGGGGGCAAAUGCAAGUUUAAAAAGCUUUGUCCUAGACCCUUUCCAGAGGUGAGACUGUUCUCAGCCUCAGAUCCUAGGAGAUGGUGUAUUUCAUAGGUUUGACAGUUUCUGAAAUUCGCCAGAGGAUUUAGAGUGUUAAUACUACAUUCCCUCUGGUUUGUAGACUCUCUGUCCCCGUUAGUCACCUCUCCUGUCGCUCCACCCCUUCUUUCGUUCGCUCGGGCCUGUCUCAAGGCUUGAUGCUUUGGUGUGAGCCUUCUCACCCCUUGCAGCUCUGCAGAGGGCCGGUGAUGGAGAAAGCUACUUAUGCUGAGCUAGAGAAUUUCAGUUUGUUACUUGCAUCUUUGGCUAUCUCACCUUGCAUAAAAUAUGAAAAAUACAAUUCCAAGUAACUGUUGCAGUGAAUGUAUCAAGAAGACCUCACAGCCAGAAGAAUUCAGCUUUGUAGUAAUGCAGAACAACCCUUGAGCUAGGGCAGUCUAGUCCCGUGUGUGUGUGUGACACAGCGGCAGUCUGGCGUGGGACGGACGGUCUUACUGGGGUAAGAGCAGUAGGAUGGAGUCUCCCAGCUGCUGCUUCCUUUUGUGCUGUUGAAAAGAGACAAGGGUCUGAGGCUGAAGAGCAGUCAAUGGUAGCUGAGAAGGGUUUGCUUAUAAGCUGAGAGAAUUGGCCUGACCACUGUCACCUGGUUUGUGAUGCUGACACUUUCUCUAUAUGACAGGUAUCUGAUCCUUACAGUCUAAAAUGCUGACUAGUGCUCCCUUCCUGAGAGGAGGGGAAGCUGCUGUAGGACUGAUAAGGGUAGAACUGAGCCAGUGACAGGGGUAGGAGCCUUUCUGCAUGCCCUGGCUGGUAAAGGGGAGGCAGCUUUCCCUGCAGGGUAAGGGCAGAAACCUGAGUGGAAGCAUUUGUCUGCUGUUCCUGAUGGGGAGAGGAGAGGGCAAUUUCCUUCUGAAGCUCACACGAAGGAGGACUAUGUUGCCUUGCACUUACUGCCUGCCCUCACCAGUAGUAAAUGUCUCUGAGUUCAUGCUGAGUUUACCUUAAAGCUGUUUGUACGCCCAUGCCAGUGAUUCAUGCGCGGUUGUAAAGGAAGGGGUAAGUAUUACGAAUGUGGCUGAUGCUGCUCACGCCAGCAAGCAGUUCAAGGAAAAGGGGAACCUCUGAUUUAAUCUUUGGAAGAUGUGCCUCAGGGGACGCUAAGCCUAGAGGGAAGGAAGUGUGAUACGUAUCCCUGUGUGCAGUGGUGGUCGACAUUCAUGAGCGAAACUAGCUGGGUUUGCUUGGACACCUGCUUUGAUGGCUAAGGCCUGUAGUAAUUUCAUUCAAAGUAGCACGCUGGCCAUAGGUACAGAGGCAACCCACCUGCUAUUUCCCUGCUUUAGUGAACAGUUACCAUGGGGUAUGUGCAGUGGGGCUUUCUGGCUUGUGCUGCUAACCUUCACUGUGCCUUGAGGGUAUGCUGCAGUUAUUGCAUUUUUUUUCCCCCUUGAUGCUUUCUACAUGUACUCGGCCUCCAGCCUCUUCUAAAUGACAAAAUGUGCCCUUGGUUUUCUAGGAGAAAUAGAAGCAAAGGGAUUAGUUUAGCACAGAUCCAGAGGAGGGUAGCUCCUGGUGUCAGUCUGUUGAACCCGGCUCUCUUUGCAAAGACAAGACUGCCUAUUCUCUAGUGGUGCAAAAUAAGCUACUAAUCUGCCUUGACAAAAAAAUAAUUUAUUAGCAGCAAAGAGUCUUUGGCUUUGCUCUCUAAAGCACAGGCUGUGAUGAAGGGAGUCUGAUUCAUUGCUUGGUGCCUGAUUGCUGGUUCAGCUGAGGCUGCUAUCAGGGCCCAAAAGAGAUCAGUUUGCAUUCAGAUAUUUCAGCCUCUUAGUCUGAUAGAUUUUGGCUGGGGCUUCCUCUACUGUCAGGGAGAAAUAUUUAAACAGCUCUUGGCCAGAAACUUGCCUUGCUCUGGAGCACAGAUGUAGAAAUCCUUGCGUAGUGACUAGAGAGCUAAUGCUGCUAGACCUGAAGGCUUCUAGCCAGCCAGUGUGGAGCUGGCACCUGUAAAGUUAUAUACUGUGUUACUGUAAUCCAAAGCAUAUUCUGUUGUGCUGUGGUAUUUCAGACCAUUAGCAUAGUACCUUUUAAUGGGGUGUGCCUAAUGUUUCUCUCUCUCUGGCAGGGUGAGCUUUCUCUUUUCUAGGAUUCUCUUAAGCCUUUAUUAGGAGUUUUUGGAUUUGUGGCCUGAAUUCACCUCUUCUGCCAGUUUCUCUUCCAGUGCAGCUGAACAGCGUGAACCACAAGGAUUUCCUGAAAUAAGUCUUCUAGGUGUGUUUGAGGUCUAUUUUCCAACUAUUCUAAUUAUAAACUUCCAAGGCCUAAUAAACAACUUUCUGUACAGUC
This is a long non-coding RNA of Dromaius novaehollandiae (emu), 3037 nucleotides long. RefSeq lists it as uncharacterized. The record is from RefSeq and is a predicted model, not a curated record. Lineage: Eukaryota; Metazoa; Chordata; Aves; Casuariiformes; Dromaiidae. The transcript is spliced from 2 exons.